Long non-coding RNA from Rhododendron vialii, 379 nucleotides. RefSeq lists it as uncharacterized. Lineage: Eukaryota; Viridiplantae; Streptophyta; Magnoliopsida; Ericales; Ericaceae. The record is from RefSeq and is a predicted model, not a curated record. The transcript has 2 exons.
UGUGGAGUAAACGAAAACUGAUUCUUAUGCUCCAACAAGAACAAGCUUGUCCGGGGUGCUCGCAAAAGCGGUUGGACCUGGAAUUUCCUUGCCAAGCUUUUUCAGAACUCGUUUCCUAGAAGGCACCGGGUCAAGAUCAUAUGGGCCGAUAAAGGAGUUGUUAUCGGAAGAGAAUCCUCCCGUCUACAAGGAUACUGCUGCGGAAGAGUACCUGACGCUCCGAUACCAGAGAGGGACCGGUGGAGAAGACCAUCUACUGUCACAUUUCAAGUUGUAAUGCAGGAGGCCACGGAGUUCCUUUUUCUCCCACUGUUCUGGGUUAGAAAAAUCAGUUUUAGUAAAUCCCUUGGCUUUGAAAUUUGAAUGUGCUCUUCAUUAA